This 464-nucleotide ribosomal RNA is filed under the name uncultured bacterium. RNAcentral's name for it is "partial 16S ribosomal RNA". It matches the Rfam family "Bacterial small subunit ribosomal RNA", at positions 339 to 795 of the family's 1533-position model. The record is from RNAcentral.
CUACGGGGUGCUCCAGUGGGGAAUAUUGCACAAUGGGCGCAAGCCUGAUGCAGCCAUGCCGCGUGUAUGAAGAAGGCCUUCGGGUUGUAAAGUACUUUCAGCGGGGAGGAAGGGAGUAAAGUUAAUACCUUUGCUCAUUGACGUUACCCGCAGAAGAAGCACCGGCUAACUCCGUGCCAGCAGCCGCGGUAAUACGGAGGGUGCAAGCGUUAAUCGGAAUUACUGGGCGUAAAGCGCACGCAGGCGGUUUGUUAAGUCAGAUGUGAAAUCCCCGGGCUCAACCUGGGAACUGCAUCUGAUACUGGCAAGCUAGAGUCUCGUAGAGGGGGGUAGAAGUCCAGGUGUAGCGGUGAAAUGCGUAGAGAUCUGGAGGAAUACCGGUGGCGAAGGCGGCCCCCUGGACGAAGACUGACGCUCAGGUGCGAAAGCGUGGGGAGCAAACAGGAUUAGAUACCCGAGUAGUC